Molecule: unclassified non-coding RNA, 659 nt
Filed under: Centruroides sculpturatus (bark scorpion)
Lineage: Eukaryota; Metazoa; Arthropoda; Arachnida; Scorpiones; Buthidae
Description: uncharacterized LOC111636112, transcript variant X2
Source: RNAcentral
UUAUACAUGAAUCUGUUUCUGUGUGUUAUAUAAAAGUGUAGAAAUUAAAUAUAUUUUUUUUUUCUUUACUUUCUUGUGUUGAAAAGUGGAAUUGUGAUCGUGUUCAUUCCCUUAUUUAUAUUCGCAAGUUAUUCUCGAAUGAGGGAUUAUCUUGCAUAUUUCACUUUAUGGUUUUCCCUAUUUGAUUUGAUUUUUCUUAAAACAACCAUAGAACUAUUAAGAUGGCUGUGCGAAAAUUUGCUAUAUAUUCCCGACGAAAAUUUCUGGCUGGAUCCAUUUGGAAUCUUAUCAACUUUUAUAUUUUCACUUAUAAGCUACAUCAUGAUUAGUACUGUUUUUAAAAUAAUCUUUUUACAUUUCUUUCUGAAUUACAUCGAAGACAUUGAAAUAAUUUGAUGUAACAAAUGAUGAAUUUUAAAAGUUGACAUUGACGUAUUACAUAGUUUACGAAUUUUAAAUUGUGAUGACGAUUUUAAUUUUGUAUUAUUGUUGUUUUUUUAAUGACAUUAUUGAAUAAACACUGCAAUAAAAGUUUGUUUGUUAUAACACGCUUUACGCUGCAUACUAUUUAAUAAUUAUUUAAAUUAAAUUCCAGCAUCUCCCAUUGUGGUCGCUAUUGGAAGGGUCCUGUUUGUUAUUUAUUUGUCAUUGUAGCUGAA